Molecule: ribosomal RNA, 465 nt
Filed under: Vreelandella stevensii
Lineage: Bacteria; Pseudomonadati; Pseudomonadota; Gammaproteobacteria; Oceanospirillales; Halomonadaceae
Description: partial 16S ribosomal RNA
Rfam family: Bacterial small subunit ribosomal RNA
Source: RNAcentral
CCUACGGGAUGCAGCAGUGGGGAAUAUUGGACAAUGGGGGGAACCCUGAUCCAGCCAUGCCGCGUGUGUGAAGAAGGCCCUCGGGUUGUAAAGCACUUUCAGUGAGGAAGAACGCCUGGUGGUUAAUACCCAUCAGGAAAGACAUCACUCACAGAAGAAGCACCGGCUAACUCCGUGCCAGCAGCCGCGGUAAUACGGAGGGUGCGAGCGUUAAUCGGAAUUACUGGGCGUAAAGCGCGCGUAGGUGGCUUGAUAAGCCGGUUGUGAAAGCCCCGGGCUCAACCUGGGAACGGCAUCCGGAACUGUCAAGCUAGAGUGCAGGAGAGGAAGGUAGAAUUCCCGGUGUAGCGGUGAAAUGCGUAGAGAUCGGGAGGAAUACCAGUGGCGAAGGCGGCCUUCUGGACUGACACUGACACUGAGGUGCGAAAGCGUGGGUAGCAAACAGGAUUAGAUACCCGAGUAGUC